RNAcentral lists this transfer RNA (64 nucleotides) under Narceus annularis. RNAcentral describes it as "Narceus annularus tRNA-Ser". The record is from RNAcentral. Lineage: Eukaryota; Metazoa; Arthropoda; Diplopoda; Spirobolida; Spirobolidae.
AGUUACUAAGCCACCCGCCAUUGUUUUGAAAACAAAUGAUAAGAACUAAUUUUCUUAGUAACUA